AUUGAACGCUGGCGGCAUGCCUUACACAUGCAAGUCAAACGGUAACAGGUCUUCGGACGCUGACGAGUGGCGAACGGGUGAGUAAUACAUCGGAACGUGCCCAGUCGUGGGGGAUAACUACUCGAAAGAGUAGCUAAUACCGCAUACGAUCUGAGGAUGAAAGCGGGGGACCUUCGGGCCUCGCGCGAUUGGAGCGGCCGAUGGCAGAUUAGGUAGUUGGUGGGAUAAAAGCUUACCAAGCCGACGAUCUGUAGCUGGUCUGAGAGGACGACCAGCCACACUGGGACUGAGACACGGCCCAGACUCCUACGGGAGGCAGCAGUGGGGAAUUUUGCACAAUGGGCGCAAGCCUGAUGCAGCCAUGCCGCGUGUAUGAAGAAGGCCUUCGGGUUGUAAAGUACUUUCAGCGAGGAGGAAGGCGUUGUGGUUAAUAACCGCAACGAUUGACGUUACUCGCAGAAGAAGCACCGGCUAACUCCGUGCCAGCAGCCGCGGUAA
This 498-nucleotide ribosomal RNA is filed under the name uncultured Burkholderiales bacterium. RNAcentral describes it as "bacterial SSU rRNA". It matches the Rfam family "Bacterial small subunit ribosomal RNA", at positions 30 to 523 of the family's 1533-position model. The record is from RNAcentral. Lineage: Bacteria; Pseudomonadati; Pseudomonadota; Betaproteobacteria; Burkholderiales.